RNAcentral lists this long non-coding RNA (785 nucleotides) under Phasianus colchicus (ring-necked pheasant). Its description in RNAcentral is "lncRNA (ENSPCLG00000013022.1)". Lineage: Eukaryota; Metazoa; Chordata; Aves; Galliformes; Phasianidae. The record is from RNAcentral.
CUCCAUGGUCUUGAAGGAGCGAAGGUAGAGUGGGGCGAUGCUGCAGCCCUUCUCCAUCCCUGUUUUCUUCCCAAGUCCUGGUGGGGAGACAGUAGGGACGUCACACCUGGGACAGCUCACCCAAGGGAGAAGGGGCUGGGAGCUGAGGGCAGAGCUGGAAGCAUUCCUUUUUCUUCUUAGGGUGAUGCAGGACCCUGCGGCAGGGAUGGAGCUGCUGGAGCAGCUGGGCUGGAGGGACCCGCAGGAGACGAUGGAGCAAAGGGAGACCCUGGCCAUCCUGGCCCUGUGGGCUCAGUGGGUGCACGUGGACGGCCAGGCAGCCCUGGCUUCAAGGGCUACACUGGGCAUCGAGGAGCUGGGGGAGCAGCAGGCACACGGGGGCAGCCGGGUCGACAGGUGAGUGGGGCUCUGUGGGGAAACUGAGGCAUGGAGUGGGGGAAGGACUGAGCCUUGGGGUCCCAUGAGGAACAACUCAGAGCUGAGGGCCCCCUGCUUUGUCUCCCAAUGAAUGCAGGGUCCUCUUGGGCCGCCGGGCAAUGCUGGAGUCCCAGGGUCUGGUGGCAUUGAGGUGAGUGCCACCCUCUGCCCUUGUGCCAUCCCCAUCCUCAGCUCUCCAAGCUGAGGGCUGCCCAAGGAGCAGGGUUGAUUUAUUUGUUCUUUCUUAGGGCCUCGUGGGUGCCAAAGGGGAGCCAGGCACAGUGGGAGAACCAGGGCACACGGUGAGGGGGUGGGGAGAGCUGUACUGAAGUGGGUGGCUGAGAUUUCCUGGGAUCAUAGGAAAUGCU